Molecule: ribosomal RNA, 1427 nt
Filed under: uncultured organism
Description: 16S ribosomal RNA
Rfam family: Bacterial small subunit ribosomal RNA
Source: RNAcentral
CGGCACGCUUAACACAUGCAAGUCGAACGAGAGAAGAGAAGCUUGCUUUUCUGAUCUAGUGGCGGACGGGUGAGUAACACGUGAGCAAUCUGCCUUUCAGAGGGGGAUACCGAUUGGAAACGAUCGUUAAUACCGCAUAACAUAAUUGAACCGCAUGAUUUGAUUAUCAAAGAUUUAUCGCUGAAAGAUGAGCUCGCGUCUGAUUAGCUAGUUGGUAAGGUAACGGCUUACCAAGGCGACGAUCAGUAGCCGGACUGAGAGGUUGAUCGGCCACAUUGGGACUGAGACACGGCCCAGACUCCUACGGGAGGCAGCAGUGGGGAAUAUUGCACAAUGGAGGAAACUCUGAUGCAGCGAUGCCGCGUGAGGGAAGAAGGUUUUAGGAUUGUAAACCUCUGUCUUCAGGGACGAAAAAAGACGGUACCUGAGGAGGAAGCUCCGGCUAACUACGUGCCAGCAGCCGCGGUAAUACGUAGGGAGCGAGCGUUGUCCGGAAUUACUGGGUGUAAAGGGAGCGUAGGCGGGAUCGCAAGUCAGAUGUGAAAACUAUGGGCUUAACCCAUAAACUGCAUUUGAAACUGUGGUUCUUGAGUGAAGUAGAGGUAAGCGGAAUUCCUAGUGUAGCGGUGAAAUGCGUAGAUAUUAGGAGGAACAUCAGUGGCGAAGGCGGCUUACUGGGCUUUAACUGACGCUGAGGCUCGAAAGCGUGGGGAGCAAACAGGAUUAGAUACCCUGGUAGUCCACGCCGUAAACGAUGAUUACUAGGUGUGGGGGGACUGACCCCUUCCGUGCCGCAGCAAACGCAAUAAGUAAUCCACCUGGGGAGUACGACCGCAAGGUUGAAACUCAAAGGAAUUGACGGGGGCCCGCACAAGCAGUGGAGUAUGUGGAUUAAUUCGAAGCAACGCGAAGAACCUUACCAGGUCUUGACAUCGUAUGCAUAGCUCAGAGAUGAGUGAAAUCUCUUCGGAGACAUAUAGACAGGUGGUGCAUGGUUGUCGUCAGCUCGUGUCGUGAGAUGUUGGGUUAAGUCCCGCAACGAGCGCAACCCUUACUGUUAGUUGCUACGCAAGAGCACUCUAGCAGGACUGCCGUUGACAAAACGGAGGAAGGUGGGGAUGACGUCAAAUCAUCAUGCCCCUUAUGACCUGGGCCUCACACGUACUACAAUGGCUGUCAACAGAGGGAUGCAAAGCCGCGAGGUGGAGCGAACCCCUAAAAGCAGUCUUAGUUCGGAUUGUAGGCUGCAACCCGCCUACAUGAAGUCGGAAUUGCUAGUAAUCGCAGAUCAGCAUGCUGCGGUGAAUACGUUCCCGGGCCUUGUACACACCGCCCGUCACGCCAUGGGAGUCGGUAACACCCGAAGCCUGUAGUCUAACCGCAAGGAGGACGCAGUCGAAGGUGGGAUUGAUGACUGGGGUGAAGUC